CAUUGAUCAAAUGCUUAGAAACAGCUAGUACUAAAUAUUAUUGAUAACUAAUAAUAUUGUAUUACUAGCUAAAAUAUUAUUGUAUGUAUAAUAAUAUGAUAUCUGUACUGAGAUUUGUUUUUUUGUUUCUAACAAUUAUUUUAGUAACAGGCUAUUUUGUGAUACCAACGAUGUCUAGUGCCCUGUGUAAAUGUUACAGGAUUGUAACUUAUAUGUGUUGGAAAGAAUGUAGGAGGAAAUAUGGAAAGAAAGGAUAAAUUUUUACACUUCCAUAGAGUGAU
Molecule: long non-coding RNA, 281 nt
Organism: Apis cerana (Asiatic honeybee)
Lineage: Eukaryota; Metazoa; Arthropoda; Insecta; Hymenoptera; Apidae
Source: RefSeq, a predicted model, not a curated record